This 498-nucleotide ribosomal RNA is filed under the name uncultured bacterium. RNAcentral's name for it is "partial 16S ribosomal RNA". It matches the Rfam family "Bacterial small subunit ribosomal RNA", at positions 30 to 523 of the family's 1533-position model. The record is from RNAcentral.
AUUGAACGCUGGCGGCAUGCCUUACACAUGCAAGUCGAACGGUAACGGGCCUUCGGGUGCCGACGAGUGGCGAACGGGUGAGUAAUACAUCGGAACGUGCCCGAUCGUGGGGGAUAACGAGGCGAAAGCUUUGCUAAUACCGCAUACGAUCUACGGAUGAAAGCAGGGGACCGCAAGGCCUUGCGCGGACGGAGCGGCCGAUGGCAGAUUAGGUAGUUGGUGGGGUAAAAGCUUACCAAGCCGACGAUCUGUAGCUGGUCUGAGAGGAUGAUCAGCCACACUGGGACUGAGACACGGCCCAGACUCCUACGGGAGGCAGCAGUGGGGAAUUUUGGACAAUGGGCGCAAGCCUGAUCCAGCCAUGCCGCGUGCAGGAUGAAGGCCUUCGGGUUGUAAACUGCUUUUGUACGGAACGAAAAGCCUUCUUCUAAUACAGGAGGGUCAUGACGGUACCGUAAGAAUAAGCACCGGCUAACUACGUGCCAGCCGCCGCCGUAA